Molecule: non-coding RNA, 72 nt
Organism: Pangasius djambal
Lineage: Eukaryota; Metazoa; Chordata; Actinopteri; Siluriformes; Pangasiidae
Source: the annotation of a GenBank genome assembly
UCCCUGGUGGACUAGUGGUUAGGCCUCAUCUCUCUCACUUCCAUGGCCUGGGUUUGAGUCCUAGCCAGGGAA